GCUUCUUUAUAUUGUUGUUUCUAACACCUAAAAAACAACAAUUACAAUGUGAGAAGUUCUUUAAAAAGACAAGAAACUUUUGCAUAGAUAUGCUAUGCUGGGUCGUCCUUAAGGCACAACUAUGGGAUUAAUAAAUUGUUUAAUCAGCACAUUUUGUAUGGAAACAUCGUAUCCCACCAGGCGUAUAGGUCACUAUAGUUUUUACAGAAGGCAGCUUUUAAUGCUAAGAAUGCAAAUUAUUUUCUGAAUAAAAUAACGGAAUGAGAAACAAUAGAUGUGUCGUUUCAGAGGUUUUUUAUGUGAAUAUGUUUGCUUUUCUUUUUACCCCUCCAGAGGGUCUUUUGUGGGCUCUAGUGUCCCUUAUAUCAAAGUAGGCUGACAGGAAAGGGGGGGAAACAUGCGGCAAAUAUCGUCGGGUCCAGGAGUCGAACCCACAACAGCCGUGCCGAGGACUCAAGGCCACACAUGGGUCGCGCUUUCCCCUACGCCAACACGGCACGCCCUGAAUAUUUUUUCUAAUAACCGUCAUCUCCUAAAUCCUUUUGUUAAAGGGCAGUAUUUUUAGUUGAUUAUCCAUUUAACAUUGAUUAUACUUUUUCAUAAUGAUUAACUAACAAAAUUACAUAGGCUGUAAUUUGUGUUAAUUGGUCAUACUUUUUAUUAAAUUCUACCAUCAUGUUUGAUGCUCUCAGGAAAAUGGGAUGUUGUGUUUUCUCUAUGGUUCUACUCUUCCAGCAGGUUGCCACAAAAGGGUUCCACGGUGUGCCAGUUGAGAGGCUGAGGGCUGAUUUCCUGCAGGUCCUCUCCAUCAUUGUUGUUCAACCCGUGCCCCCUCCAACAGCUCUGCAGCAACCACCAUCAGACCCUCGGCCUCUGCCUACCAUUUUGCAGUUUCUACCUCAAGACCAACACCCCCUUCAGGACUUCCACUAAUUUAUUAUUUCGUCCAGAAGCUUUGUUCCCCACGUUGCCUACCUACCCUGGAUCACCACCUUUGCACAUGUAACCCCCAUAUACGUGUGUAAUAUUAUUGUUAGUAGUAUUUUAUAUUUUGUUUCUUUUGGAUUUUGUCUUGUAAUGUAAUGCACCAGCAAAUAGGUUUCUAUUUUAAUUUUGGGUUUUCUUUUGCUACCAGAAACCGCCAGUAGGUUGCUUGUGAGUUUACACUCUGGUUUGGACAGCAGAGAAAAAUAGGAGUAGAAGAAGGAACUGUAGCUGGCUGCAGCACGUUGUGCUGAGCUAUUGCACGCUGAGAGAAAAGAAAGCAAGUUAUAUGAUAAAGUCUGAUGAAUUCUGGUAACGGUUGACAGAAGAGAAGUGACCUUAUCCUGGCAGUUAAAUCCAUUUCUGUUGUGAUUUUCUCUGAUUGGUUAUUUUUUAGAACCACAAUCAACUUGGAACAUCGUCCCGCUGCAUACCACCGCACGCCUGGAUCAGAUGUGCUGGGCUCCAGGUUUCAACCCAAGAUCUGGGACUACUGGAUCCGCUGCCUGCUUUGCACUGGAUUAAGAUAAGAUUUCGGAUCCAAAGAAACACAUGGCUAUGGAAUUUGACAGAUUCCAUAGCCUUGGAUUUCAAAUACCGAACUAAAGAAAGGAACUGAACAAUAAGAAAUCUGGACUGAAAGAAAAGACACUACCUGAUAUAAUAAGGGUGGACACUUUCUGUUGAAAAAAAUGUUACAAUAAUAUUCUGUUUAAUUUUGUAUUAAACAGGCUGUUCAUUUUCCUUGACAAUAUGGUUGUUUGUGCUUAUUAUCCUCCUUUUUGAACUUAGCAAGAAGACUAAUUGUAACUACAACACUUGAAAUCUAAAUUUCUCAACUUAUCUGUUUGUAAGUUACACAAAUUGGUUACACACAUUAUUCUACUUUGUAAAUAAACCCCAUUUUAUUGAUUUCUUCUCUGCAUGUGGGUUAGAAGUCUAAAUUCAUGUUGCUGCUGUGUUACAGAGUAUGACUGCAAGCCAGUCUUCUCAGUCACCACCAGAGGCUCCCUCAGCUGCUGCUCCACCUUCAGCACCCUAGUGUGAUGUCUUACCACCAGCACCAGACAAACUUGUUGGUGAUGUCAAUUGUGGGAGUUUCCUUCUCCAGUACUCUUUAAUUUUAUCCCAUUUAUCUCAGUCUAUUCCCACUGACAAUAGCAAGAUUGUUUACAGUCUUGGCUUUCUCUCUGGACGUGCUUUGAAAUGGGCAGAAGUCCACAUUCAAGACUACACAAGCUUUGGGAUUUGUUUGGAGGAUUUUGUUAAGGAAUGCAAAAUGACUUAGCUUAAACCUUGACCCUGAGUCCUUUUCUAGAGUGUUAUGGAAGAUCAGGCAAGGCCAACGGUCUGACUCAGAUUUUUCUAUUGACUUCUGCACCAUUGCAGCUGCUUCUGGCUGGGACUCGUGCACUAAAGAGUGUUUUUAUUAAUGCUUUAAAUGAGUCACUUAAGGAUGUAAUGGUUCUGCUAGAUGAACCAGAGACUGUAGAUAACUUGAUUACCCAAGUAACCCAUAUUGAUCUUGAUCUAAUUUUUCAUCCACUUUCAAUCUGUCUCUUCAUCCUCCUGAAUCUCUAAGUCUCAUUCACAAAAACCAGAACCAACGAAAGAAGGUCCAAUCCAUCUAUCUCCUGAGGAAUAGUAGCACAGGACGCAGUCCAACCAGUGUUUGUAUUGUGGAGGUUCUGAUCACUUCAUUGGCACUUGUCCCCUUUGGUUAAAAGCCAAAGUCCAUUAGUAACUAAGGGGAGUUUGAUGGACAAGCCCACAUACACCACAUCUUCUUUGCUUUUCCUUCCAGUUUUGUCAGUAAUACUCAUUCCAUAUCAGCGCUUUGGUUGAUUGACCCUCAUUGCCCAGUCCAUUAUUCAAUAGCAUGAAAUAGAGUCUAUUCCUAUGAGGAACCCUCUUGAGACUACAGACCUGAAUGGAAGACCCUUGCCACCCAUUCUCUCUGAUCAUCUCAGGUAGCUAUUGUGAAACUCACUUUCUUUGUUUUCGAAUCCAAACAUUCAUCCAUUAUACUAGAUUUUGACUCAUAUCUCAAUUGGUGAAAUUGCUGUCUUGAAUCCUAGCCCACUGUCUUUCUUCCUGCCUGCAAUCUCUCCUCCCUGCUACCCCGCCCCCAGGGAAUUCACCUGUUGAUGAAUCCCCAGAACUGAGCCAAGUUCCAGAGGAUUAUGGAUCUUAAACAAGUUGUCAACUAAAGCAAGGCUCUAUCACUGCCACUCCACAGAUCAUAUGACUGCUAUAAACUGUCUCCCUGGAGCACCUUUGCCUUCUAGCUGUCUUUUCAAUGUGUCUCACCUUGAAAGAGAAUCCAUAGAGAAGUAAAUAAAUGAAUCUCCUGCUACUGGCAUUAUUAGACAUUCAUCUUCUCCUUUGGGGGUGGAUUUCUUCUUGUUUAAGAAGGAUGGCUCACUCCAAUUCUGCAUCAAUUACCUUGGACUAAAGCAAAUCACCAUGAAUCAUUACCCUCUGCCACUUAUCUAUUCAGCUUUCAAACCCCUCAUGAUGCUAAGAUUUUCACCAUGCUUGACCUCUGCAAUGCCUACCACCUAGUCUGUAUCAGCCAGGGGGAUGAGUGGAAGACUACUUUCAAGACCCCUCUUGGCCACUUUGAAUACCUUGUCAUUCCAUUUAGACUGUAAUUGCCCAUGCCAUAUUUCAGGCCGUACGAUCACUUUGUGCCCACCUUCUGAGCCCCCUCCUCCCACCCAAGUCAUUAAUGGGCGUUAAGUGGAUGGUGGCCUCCUUUCUGUGAAGUUGGGGGUAUCAGUAUCUUGUUGACUGGGAAUGCUACAGUCCUGAGAACCGUUCACGGGUACUGCAGUAUUUCGUCUUGACUCCAUCUCUCAUAGCUGACUACAAAACCUCCCUUGCGUCCACUUCUUCUGGGAAACCAGGUGGCGGCCGUUGAGGGGAACGUGAUUUCAGGAAAGUGGGGAGUUGUGCAGCCACACCUGCAACACCUUUAGCCUCAUCCUUUCCUAGUGAUAAGAAGCUGGUUGCCUGUCACUAAUUUGCCUGAGUGUUAACCCAUGUGGUGACGUCAAGCCAACUUUGUGAACUUCUGAGUUGCUUUCUGUGUGAAGUAUCUGAGCCCAGUGUUACUCCUUGUUUCCCUCUCUUCAGGUCUCUGAGUACCACCUUGAAUCUAUCUGUGGAACCUCUCAAACAUCGUCAGACCAGAACCAGCCAUAGCCCUCAGCUUGGAUUUUCUGACUGGUAACUUUAAGCUCCUGCAUCAACAUUGUACCGCCUGUUCAUCCUCAAACAGUUCUGCAGCAGCCACCAUCCCUCAGCCUAUUUUGCAGUUUAUACCUCAAGAAGAACACCCCACUCACCCCUCCCUGGUCUGUAAGUUCCUUAUCCAACAUUUCCUCUUACCUUCAUCUGCUCCACUAAGUUAUUAUUGCUUCCAAUUUAUUAUUUCUUCCAGAGGUUCCCCACAUCGCCUACGUACCCUGGACCACCACCUUUGCAAAUAAACCCCAUUUUACUGAUUUC
Long non-coding RNA from Gambusia affinis (western mosquitofish), 4497 nucleotides. RefSeq lists it as uncharacterized. The transcript is spliced from 2 exons. The record is from RefSeq and is a predicted model, not a curated record. NCBI's taxonomy places the organism in Eukaryota, Metazoa, Chordata, Actinopteri, Cyprinodontiformes, Poeciliidae.